AGCAGGUCCCAAGGGUUCGGCUGUUCGCCGAUUAAAGUGGUACGUGAGCUGGGUUUAGAACGUCGUGAGACAGUUCGGUCCCUAUCUGCCGUGGGUGUAGGAAAAUUGAGAGGAUCUGUCCCUAGUACGAGAGGACCGGGAUGGACAUACCUCUGGUGGACCGGUUGUCGCGCCAGCGGCACAGCCGGGUAGCUAUGUAUGGAAGGGAUAACCGCUGAAAGCAUCUAAGCGGGAAACCCACCUCAAAACCAGUUUUCCCUUGAGAGCCGUGGUAGACGACCACGUUGAUAGGCCAGGUGUGGAAGUGCGGCAACGCAUGUAGCUUACUGGUACUAAUCGCUCGAUUGGCUUGAUUACUCUCAUUU
This 365-nucleotide ribosomal RNA is filed under the name Parvibaculum sp. RNAcentral describes it as "bacterial LSU rRNA". It matches the Rfam family "Bacterial large subunit ribosomal RNA", at positions 2557 to 2925 of the family's 2925-position model. Lineage: Bacteria; Pseudomonadati; Pseudomonadota; Alphaproteobacteria; Hyphomicrobiales; Parvibaculaceae. The record is from RNAcentral.